This 378-nucleotide ribosomal RNA is filed under the name uncultured bacterium. Its description in RNAcentral is "bacterial SSU rRNA". It matches the Rfam family "Bacterial small subunit ribosomal RNA", at positions 790 to 1167 of the family's 1533-position model. The record is from RNAcentral.
GUAGUCCACGCUGUAAACGAUGGGUACUAGGUGUUGCGGGAAUUGACCCCUGCAGUGCCGACGCUAACGCAUUAAGUACCCCGCCUGGGAAGUACGGCCGCAAGGUUAAAACUCAAAGGAAUUGACGGGGGCCCGCACAAGCGGUGGAGCAUGUGGUUUAAUUCGAUGCAACGCGAAAAACCUUACCUGGGUUAGACAACGCAGGACAGCCGUAGAAGUACGGUUUCCCCUUCGGGGGCCUGCGGUUCAGGUGCUGCAUGGCUGUCGUCAGCUCGUAUCGUGAGAUGUCGGGUUAAGUCCCUUAACGAGCGCAACCCCUAUCCCUAGUUGCCACCAUUUAGUUGGGCACUCUAAGGAGACCGCCGGUGUUAAACCGGA